AUUUCAGCAUCGUCAGGAAGAGGU
Molecule: small RNA, 24 nt
Filed under: Brassica napus (rape)
Lineage: Eukaryota; Viridiplantae; Streptophyta; Magnoliopsida; Brassicales; Brassicaceae
Description: PsRNA_29
Source: RNAcentral